RNAcentral lists this long non-coding RNA (231 nucleotides) under Hordeum vulgare. Its description in RNAcentral is "long non-coding RNA (HVUL_LNC014382)". The record is from RNAcentral. Lineage: Eukaryota; Viridiplantae; Streptophyta; Magnoliopsida; Poales; Poaceae.
GAGGAUGCAUGAAGAUCGAAAUAGGCGCUAGGAUUACACUUUAGACGUGUGAUAACGAAUAUAUUUCCCUUUAUGUUAUGUCGCUUGAGACUUGUUGAACUAUAUUUUCCUUUAUGUUAUGUCGCUUGAGACUUGUUGAACUAUAUUUCCCUUUAUGUUAUGUCACUUGAGACUUGUUGAACUAUAUUUCCCUUUAUGUUAUGUGACUUGAGACUUGUUGAACUAUAUUUC